This 73-nucleotide transfer RNA is filed under the name Stenotrophomonas maltophilia. RNAcentral's name for it is "tRNA-OTHER". It matches the Rfam family "tRNA". From Rfam's summary of the family: Transfer RNA (tRNA) molecules are approximately 80 nucleotides in length. Their secondary structure includes four short double-helical elements and three loops (D, anti-codon, and T loops). Lineage: Bacteria; Pseudomonadati; Pseudomonadota; Gammaproteobacteria; Lysobacterales; Lysobacteraceae. The record is from RNAcentral.
GGCUUUGAAUAAUAAGGCUUUGAUGCGGAUUGCAAAUCCGUUUACAGCGGUUCGAUUCCGCUUGAGGCCUCCA